UCAGUAUUUAAUUUCAAAGUAAUAAAUCAAAUAUUUAUUUUACUGUCACUAUUAUUUAGUAGCCAUGACAACCAACAUAUACAUAAUUAAGUCUUUCUAAACAUAACCUCACUCUGUUUGUUUGGAUUGGAUUUUAAAAGAAAUAAAUUAUUGUAAUGAAGUAAUUCUUAUUUAACUAAUUCGAUUAUAUGAAUAACCUCAAUAAUUAAUUAGGUUAUGUUGUAGAACUUCUCUGGAAUUUGGAUAUUAUGAAUCGGAGUACUUAAUUCAAUUAAAUCUAUGUUGAAAUAGGCUUUUUUUGUCGAGUUACUUGGAGAUAAAAUUAACUUUCAUCAUUUUUAUUUACUUAUCAAAGCCUCUAAUUGGUGGAAAAUGUAUAGAGUUGAGCAAAAAUAUGUUCCAGUUCUUCUUUAUCUCAUGAAUCGUUCAUGAACGUGGUGUGGCCAUUGGAGCGAGGUAAAAGAUAUCAAAAUAGAAAGAAGGGAAGAAGAAAAUCGAAAAGAAAAGAGUACACUUAGUCUUGGUGUCUUUGGUGCUUCUGUUGGUUAUUUAUAAGAAGUGGAAUGGUUCUCUUAUGUUGUCAACGACGACUGGUUUUGCCCGUUUGUAGAAACUCAAAAACUCGGCAUCGACGCCGAGAGAAAGAAAAAUAAAACGAAGGUAAAACAGAAUCAGAUGUCAGAGAUUCCACACAUUUCGACGUGGAACCUCUAUUCACCAGAGUACCAGUCAAAGAUGCGGUGGAUGGUCUCAUCCCGGAGGGUUUUCCAAAGUAUGUCCCAGGACUAAUGGAGUACUGCCUAUCGUCGACAUAUUUUAGCUGGGAGGGAGAGUUCUACUAGCAAUGCGAAUCAUGGGAUCAUUUCUGUCAUCUGUGAUCACCAAUUUUUACAUGGAGAUGUUUGAAGAGUACUAUGGCCGUUACGUCAAUGACACCUUUGUGAUCUGGCACCAUGGAAAAAAGCAACUUCAGGAAUUUCUAGACCACCACAAUUCACAGUACUCCAUGAUAAAAUUUACCAUGGAAACAGAAACUGCAAAACCUUGUCAUUCCUGGAUGUGUUGGUCAUUAGGAAGACAGAUGGGGGCAUGGAACUGAAAAUAUAUCGUAAGAAGAUGCAUACGAUACAAUAGAAGAGGUUUGUGAUUCAAGCCUUAUUCCAUCGAGCAGAGAGAACCUGAGGAAAGAAGAAAGAUUCCUAGAAGAUGUACUGCGGAAGAACGGCUAUACCAUGAGGGAUAUCCAACGAGCCACCAAACCGUGCAAACAAAAGGAUGACUCGGUAAGUAUGACACCAGCCGGUUUUAUCUGCCUUCUUUAUAUUUCAGGUGUGGCGGAGCGAAUUACUAGGUGUCUGAAGAAGAAUUAUAUCGUGGUACGAUACGGUACUCUCUUCCGAUAGCCAAAGACAAAGUAACCUCAUUAAAGGGAGCUACGUAACAUCGAAUGACGCAACAAAGAACACGACAGGGAUGUGUGACUGAGUAAAAUUCAACAAUCUGCAGCCACAAAGGAGGACACAUCAUAGAGUUUGACAAAACCAAAGUACUAGCAAGAAACGGACAUUACUUAUUAAUAGAGAAGACGGUUGAGAACUCAGCAGCACUUGGACUUAACUAGUGAACUUAACGAAACCUUCUCCACCCGGAUUUGACAAAAACAAUUCCUUCGUACUUACAAGAAUAUUUAAUUAAGUUACGUUAAACUACUCCGAUUGAUAUUUAAUGAGAUGAAGAAAAGGUUCGUUUCUUAAUCGAGAAUUGGAGUCUCUUUAAGAAUAUAAUUUUUUGGGUUGGUAUAAAAAAGUGCAAAACUUGUGAGCGUUGAGUUAUGUAAUAAGGAAAAAUCGCAGUGUGCAAAUUAGAAAGAGACGACUACAUCGGUCAGCUGUUAAAUAAAAAUAACCUCGGGCUGUCGUCGUCGUUGUCGGGUGCCAUAUGCUGCUACUUGUUGAGUAGUUGUCUUAAAGGCCGUUUAUUAGGACCGUUCUAACAGUUGGCAACCUGUUAGAAAGGAUAUAAAAGUUUAACGACUAAAAAAAGGAGGAGAUGAAUUUUUUUUUUUUCCUAAAUAAAGUUGGAAAAUAAGAUUGAAGUUUCUGUAUUUGAUGUAUCGUUGAAAUCUCCAACAAAAUUAAGAAGAUGAAAAGCAAAAAUGAAAUCUUUUUUUUCGUUUCAAUUAAAAGGAACGAGAUAGUUGGCAAUGAAAUUCUUGUAUAGGCCAACAAUCACCAUUUUAAUAGAAGGUGGCAAUGACUUCGACGGGGGCCGUAGCCGCAACCGUAGCCGCCGUCACGGCCGUCCAUUUAGCGAAAGCGUACGCGCGCUGCCGGCCGUGCUGCCGCCGAAGUUAACCCCACCAUGUUCUCAACCGCGCCACCACUGGGAAAAAAGUAACAGCAGGAAAGAGAGAAGACGAAGACGACGACAACGACGUUACAUGGUUACGGCGAAGGUGUUUGACCGUUCAGGGUCGAACACUUUUUGUCGUAGUAUUGACCCGACUCUUCGAACUAUAAUAAAAGAAGAAUUCUUUAAACCCCAAUAAUUUUUUUUUUACAUUAAUACGAUUAAAAUUAUUUAAUCAAAAAAUGUUAAUAUGUAUUAAUGAUGGAAGAAAAUUCUUGGUUUAAUUUGACUGACAUUUAAAACUUGACAUAAAAAAGUUGUUCUCUUC
Molecule: non-coding RNA, 2677 nt
Organism: Onthophagus taurus
Lineage: Eukaryota; Metazoa; Arthropoda; Insecta; Coleoptera; Scarabaeidae
Source: RefSeq, a predicted model, not a curated record